Molecule: ribosomal RNA, 253 nt
Filed under: uncultured bacterium
Lineage: Bacteria
Description: partial 16S ribosomal RNA
Rfam family: Bacterial small subunit ribosomal RNA
Source: RNAcentral
UACGGGGGGGGCAAGCGUUGUUCGGAAUUACUGGGCGUAAAGGGCUCGUAGGCGGCCAACUAAGUCAGACGUGAAAUCCCUCGGCUUAACCGGGGAACUGCAUCUGAUACUGGAUGGCUUGAGUUCGGGAGAGGGAUGCGGAAUUCCAGGUGUAGCGGUGAAAUGCGUAGAUAUCUGGAGGAACACCGGUGGCGAAGGCGGCAUCCUGGACCGACACUGACGCUGAGGCGCGAAAGCUAGGGUAGCAAACGGG